AACGAACGCUGGCGGCGUGCUUAACACAUGCAAGUCGAACGCGAAAGUUUUCUUCGGAAGACGAGUAGAGUGGCGCACGGGUGAGUAACGCGUAAGUUAUCUACCUCGGCAUCUGGAAUAACUCACCGAAAGGUGUGCUAAUACCGGAUACGUUGAGUAAUCAAGAAAGGUGGCCUCUGAAUAUGCUACUGUGCUGAGAUGAGCUUGCGUACCAUUAGCUAGUUGGUAGGGUAAUGGCCUACCAAGGCAACGAUGGUUAGCGGGUCUGAGAGGAUGAUCCGCCACACUGGAACUGAAACACGGACCAGACUCCUACGGGAGGCAGCAGUGAGGAAUAUUGCGCAAUGGGGGCAACCCUGACGCAGCGACGCCGCGUGGAUGAUGAAGGCCUUCGGGUCGUAAAAUCCUGUCAAGUGGAAAGAAGUGCAUGGUGGCUAAUACCUGCCAUGUUUGACGGUACCACUGAAGGAAGCACCGGCUAACUCCGUGCCAGCAGCCGCUGU
RNAcentral lists this ribosomal RNA (503 nucleotides) under uncultured bacterium. RNAcentral describes it as "bacterial SSU rRNA". It matches the Rfam family "Bacterial small subunit ribosomal RNA", at positions 29 to 521 of the family's 1533-position model. The record is from RNAcentral.